Molecule: ribosomal RNA, 32 nt
Filed under: uncultured Trichosporon
Lineage: Eukaryota; Fungi; Basidiomycota; Tremellomycetes
Description: partial 5.8S ribosomal RNA
Source: RNAcentral
CUUUCAACAACGGAUCUCUUGGCUCUCGCAUC